AAUGGGUCCAGCUGUUGAGAAAGCAAGCAAGGGAAUUUUAGCGGAUGUUUUGAAAUGUUUGGGUGACAAUAAAAAGCAUAUGAGGGAAUGCACAUUGAAUACUUUAGAUUCUUGGCUCUCUGCUGUUCAUCUUGAUAAAAUGGUUCCUUACAUUGCAGCAGCUUGGACAGAUGCAAAACUUGGUGCGGAAGGGCGCAAAGAUCUUUUUGAGUGGUUGUCAAAACAACUGUCUGGGUUAACUGAAUUUCCUGAUGCUGUACAGCUACUAAAGCCAACUUCCUCUGCUCUGACGAUAAUUCUGACUUGUCAAAAACACUGAAAUAUUCUUUUUUACUUGUUUGCAUUGCUAGAAUAUUUCCAUGCUAACAAUAAUGUGCAUAGAGAUGUAAGAAUCAUGAUGCCAGUUCCCUUUCCAUUGUUUCUGGUUAUGACUUUAUGAAAUUUUCAUCCAGGAUAAAUCAUCAGAUGUUCGUAAAGCAGCAGAGACAUGCAUUGCUGAAAUCUUGAGAGUUUGUACACAAGAAACUGUUGAGAAGCUUGUUAGGGAUGUUCAGGGACCAACUUUAGCACUUGUUCAUGACGUUUGAAGCAUUAUGGUAAUUUUCAAGAAUCUUUUGAAUCUGCCAAAACAAUUUCGGCCCCUGCAUCCAAGACCCUUUCGAAAGUGGGUAAAUCCACUUCUAAUGGUGUUUU
Long non-coding RNA from Humulus lupulus (European hop), 693 nucleotides. RefSeq lists it as uncharacterized. The record is from RefSeq and is a predicted model, not a curated record. The transcript has 5 exons. NCBI's taxonomy places the organism in Eukaryota, Viridiplantae, Streptophyta, Magnoliopsida, Rosales, Cannabaceae.